RNAcentral lists this ribosomal RNA (253 nucleotides) under uncultured bacterium. RNAcentral describes it as "partial 16S ribosomal RNA". It matches the Rfam family "Bacterial small subunit ribosomal RNA", at positions 524 to 776 of the family's 1533-position model. The record is from RNAcentral.
UACGUAGGGUGCAAGCGUUGUCCGGAAUUAUUGGGCGUAAAGAGCUCGUAGGCGGUUUGUCGCGUCUGCUGUGAAAACUCAGGGCUUAACCCUGAGCCUGCAGUGGGUACGGGCAGACUAGAGUGUGGUAGGGGAGAUCGGAAUUCCUGGUGUAGCGGUGGAAUGCGUAGAGAUGUGGAGGAACACCAGUGGCGAAGGCGGCUCACUGGACCACAACUGACGCUGAGGCGCGAAAGCUAGGGGAGCAAACAGG